RNAcentral lists this ribosomal RNA (341 nucleotides) under uncultured bacterium. RNAcentral describes it as "partial 16S ribosomal RNA". It matches the Rfam family "Bacterial small subunit ribosomal RNA", at positions 338 to 690 of the family's 1533-position model. The record is from RNAcentral.
CCUACGGGUGGCAGCAGUCGAGAAUCAUUCACAAUGGGGGAAACCCUGAUCGUGCGACGCCGCGUGGGGGAAUGAAGGUCUUCGGAUUGUAAACCUCUGUCAUGUGGGAGCAAAGUAAAAAGAUAGUAACACAAGAGGAAGAGACGGCUAACUCGGUGACAGCAGACGCGGUACUACAGAGGUCUCAAGCGUGGUUCGGAUUCACUGGGGGUAAAGCGUGCGUAGGCUGUUUCGUACGUCGUUUGUGAAAGGCGGGGGCUCAACCCGCGGACGGCAGAUGUUACUGCGAGACUAGAGUAGUGGAGGGGGAGCGGGAGUUCUGGGUGUGGCAGUGAAAGGCG